RNAcentral lists this ribosomal RNA (470 nucleotides) under uncultured bacterium. RNAcentral's name for it is "bacterial SSU rRNA". It matches the Rfam family "Bacterial small subunit ribosomal RNA", at positions 28 to 494 of the family's 1533-position model. The record is from RNAcentral.
GAUGAACGCUAGCGGCAGGCUUAAUACAUGCAAGUCGAGGGGCAGCAUAAGUAGCAAUACUUGAUGGCGACCGGCAAACGGGUGCGGAACACGUACGCAACCUUCCUUUAAGUGGGGAAUAGCCCGGGGAAACCCGGAUUAAUACCCCGUAAUAUUAUGAUGUGGCAUCACAUUAUAAUUAUAGAUUCAUCGCUUAAAGAUGGGCGUGCGCCUGAUUAGGUAGUUGGCGGAGUAAUAGCCCACCAAGCCUGCGAUCGGUAACUGGUGUGAGAGCACGACCAGUCACACGGGCACUGAGACACGGGCCCGACUCCUACGGGAGCAGCAGUAAGGAAUAUUGGUCAAUGGACGCAAGUCUGAACCAGCCAUGCCGCGUGGAGGAUGAAGGUCCUCUGGAUUGUAAACUUCUUUUAUUUGGGAAGAAAUGUGAUGAUUCUUUAUCACUUGACGGUACCAGAUGAAUAAGCACC